UACGAAGGGGGCUAGCGUUGUUCGGAAUUACUGGGCGUAAAGCGUGCGCAGGCGGCCAUCCAAGUCAGUGGUGAAAGCCCGGAGCUCAACUCCGGAAUUGCCAUUGAAACUGUUUGUCUCGAGUACGAGAGAGGUGAGUGGAAUUCCCAGUGUAGAGGUGAAAUUCGUAGAUAUUGGGAAGAACACCGGUGGCGAAGGCGGCUCACUGGCUCGUAACUGACGCUCAUGCACGACAGCGUGGGGAUCAAACAGG
Molecule: ribosomal RNA, 253 nt
Filed under: uncultured bacterium
Lineage: Bacteria
Description: partial 16S ribosomal RNA
Rfam family: Bacterial small subunit ribosomal RNA
Source: RNAcentral